UGAUAUGUUUUUUGGAAAGGAACUGGCCUU
Molecule: non-coding RNA, 30 nt
Filed under: Rattus norvegicus (Norway rat)
Lineage: Eukaryota; Metazoa; Chordata; Mammalia; Rodentia; Muridae
Source: RNAcentral